Molecule: long non-coding RNA, 930 nt
Filed under: Rattus norvegicus (Norway rat)
Lineage: Eukaryota; Metazoa; Chordata; Mammalia; Rodentia; Muridae
Description: long non-coding RNA NONRATT009984
Source: RNAcentral
GGAGCAGCUUCGGCGGCGUUACCUAUUUCCUCCUGAAGUGGAGCUGGACUGCGAGGAGGAGGCCAAGAGACACCCACAGCUGUUGAGAGAAAGGAGAGGCCUCUUCCAAGACUUAACAUUCACUCUGGAUUCUGGAUUUUGGCGUCCAUCAUUGUGACCUAUUACGUUGAUUUCUUUAAAACCUUUAAAGAAAAUUUUCACACCAAUAGUUGGUUUCUCUUUGGUGGGGCCUUGUUGUUUGUCAGCCUGUCAAUUGCAUUUUACUGCAUAGUCUAUCUGGAAUGGUAUCGUGGGAUUGAAGAAUAUGAUGUCAAGUACCCAACGCUGGUGCCCAUCACAACUGCAACUUUCAUCGCAGCAGGGGUCUGCUUCAACCUGGCUCUGUGGAAUGUGUGGUCAUUUUUCACUCCCUUGCUGCUGUUCACCCAGUUUAUGGGGGUCGUGAUGUUCAUCUCCCUCCUCGGAUGAGCUCCAGGUAAGAUACCUGUUUCUCACGGUGAGCUGUGGAACCUUGCAGUCCCUUCUUGAGAGCCCCCUGACAGGCUGCCUGGGAAUCACUUCCUGUUGUGUCUGUGCUGUAGCGUUUCACCAGUGAGCACAGCUGCAAGGACUGAGGCCCCCUCCCAGUUUUAAGUGCUCGAUUUUCAGAGACAGCAUCAUGCCUUUCAAAGAACGAGUAAAGACAGCAUGUUCGUCUUAAUGUAGAUAAGCUCACAAGAGGCCAUUUUUCCUUGUGUGCAUGACUGUUGGCGGGAUGGCUCUUAGAAGUAGUAUGGGAAUCAGGAGAUCCUAGCCAGCUGGGGACAGUUCUGCCAUUUUCUAUAGAUAUUGGAUGAAUGGUACCCUAGCCCUUUUUAAAAAAUUCUUUUCAGGGACCGAAGACAUGGCUCACUGGUGAAGAUCACUGGUUCCUCUUGCAGAGGACCUGCU